This 253-nucleotide ribosomal RNA is filed under the name uncultured bacterium. RNAcentral's name for it is "partial 16S ribosomal RNA". It matches the Rfam family "Bacterial small subunit ribosomal RNA", at positions 524 to 776 of the family's 1533-position model. The record is from RNAcentral.
UACGAAGGGUGCAAGCGUUAAUCGGAAUUACUGGGCGUAAAGCGUGCGUAGGCGGACUUGUAAGUCGGAUGUGAAAGCCCCGGGCUCAACCUGGGAAUGGCAUUCGAGACUGCGGGGCUGGAGUUUGGGAGAGGGUGGUGGAAUUCCCGGUGUAGCGGUGAAAUGCGUAGAGAUCGGGAGGAACAUCAGUGGCGAAGGCGGCCACCUGGCCUAAAUAUGACGCUGAGGCACGAAAGCGUGGGGAGCAAACAGG